This 253-nucleotide ribosomal RNA is filed under the name uncultured bacterium. RNAcentral describes it as "partial 16S ribosomal RNA". It matches the Rfam family "Archaeal small subunit ribosomal RNA", at positions 474 to 727 of the family's 1478-position model. The record is from RNAcentral.
UACCCGCAGCUCAAGUGGUGGUCGUUAUUAUUGGGCCUAAAGCGUCCGUAGGUGGUUUGUUAAAUGCCUGGGUAAAUCGAUGCGCUCAACGCAUCGAAUUCCGGGUAGACUGGCAAACUCGAGACCGGGAGAGGUGUAGGCUACUCGAGGGGUAGGGGUAAAAUCCUGUAAUCCUUCGGGGAGGACCAGUGGCGAAGGCGCUACACUAGAACGGCUCUGACAGUGAGGGACGAAGCCCUGGGGCGCAAACCGG